UACGUAGGGUGCGAGCGUUGUCCGGAAUUAUUGGGCGUAAAGAGCUUGUAGGCGGUUUGUCGCGUCUGCUGUGAAAAUCCGGGGCUCAACCCCGGACUUGCAGUGGGUACGGGCAGGCUAGAGUGUGGUAGGGGAGACUGGAAUUCCUGGUGUAGCGGUGAAAUGCGUAGAUAUCGAGAGGAACACCUGCGGCGAAGGCGGGUUGCUGGGCUGACACUGACGCUGAGGCGCGAAAGCCAGGGGAGCAAACGGG
RNAcentral lists this ribosomal RNA (253 nucleotides) under uncultured bacterium. RNAcentral's name for it is "partial 16S ribosomal RNA". It matches the Rfam family "Bacterial small subunit ribosomal RNA", at positions 524 to 776 of the family's 1533-position model. The record is from RNAcentral.